UGAGUGUUAUUUGGAUCAUCCAUGCCCUAAAAUGGAUCAUAUUUAUUAUUUUUCAAAACCCUAGACACAACCUUCAUCUGUAUUUUCUCCUAUCGAUCCUCCAUUUUGGUUCAAGUGAUUUGAAUGAUUCAACAUCAGGUGGAUGAUUGUGAAGCUGAUUUCUAAUUAGGGUUUCUAGAUCUCAUCACAAAUCCCGCCCCCGUCUGCUUUCUCUCUCUUUUUCCGAUUCACGAAGAUGAAGGCGAUGGCUAUUCAAGCCGAUUGGAUCAUGUGGUACCGACGCUGAUAUGCAUUGUUAUCAUUCAAUCGUAUUUCGUUCAAUGACAUCAGAAGCACCAAUCAAUCGAAUUUCAUUCAAUCGGUACCGUGUCUCAUUCAAUCUGCAUAAUUCAGUUUGUAAUUAUUUACGAUUUUGAAGUGUUUGUGAUGAAAUCCUUUUUCUCUGAUCGAAUCAUCUACAAUCCAUUCUUAUAAUCAUCAGGUAUUUACUUUUCUAUCUCUACAUAUUAAUGGUGUUUUUAGUUAGCUCUUUGUUAGUUGUUCUUUCAUAUUUCUAUUAAUCAUGGGUAUUUGAUUGUUGGUGUUCUUUCGGGUGUUGCAUAUAAGGGACUUUUGGCCGAAGGGCUCUUUGCAAGUCCUACAAUGAUUCUUGGUUGCUAGAGUGGAUUGCGAUAGAUUGAUGUUCUGUAAGCUUAAUAGAGAAGUUGAAAGACAAUUAUAUCAGUUUAAGGCUUGCUCUUGGCGUUACAAACCAACCCGUUGAGACGUUUUGUGACGGAGAUGCAGCUGCAAAUGCAAACUCGAGGUCAACUGUAAAACAUUUGUAGAGCAUCUCCAAAGAGCAUAAGUGAAAGCAUAACUGUAGUCAUACGAGGGGAAAAGUCACACCUAUGAGUUUGUUCAGUUUGUUAGUGAGUUGGUUCUGGUGACUGCCCUCGAAGCCACCAUAUCAUAGUCCAUGGUGUCAUAGAGAUCUUUCCCCUGGAGAACAAUCCCUUCGCCUCCAGGAAGAAAAAAUCUUGAAUAAUAUUUGCCCAAGUUUUUUCUUCAGGCGUGGUGUUCUACAGCUGAUUACGUAAAAUAACUAGAAUCCAUUUCUCUUCAGGUAAGCUAUUUUUUUAAUUUUAUUCAUUUAAUAUUAAGAUAGCCUCAAUUUCAUAAUCACAUCCAUUAAUCCCUCUCUGUUCUGGUGAUAUUUUUGUUGAUAUACAUGAAUUUUUUUGUUGAUGAAUAUGAAAUGUAGGGUGUGAAAAUUUGGUGAAAUUUUUUGUAUUGUUUUGAGUAAACUAUGAUUGGGGAUUCUGUUUUCCCUAGGAAGAGGUGGAAUAGAAUUCACUUGAAGUUGUAAGCUUUGGCUAGCAGAUUUUUAUUAGACUGAUACGUGUAUUGUUGUUGAGGCAUUUGGAUGCUAAAUAGCUGUUUGGUGAGUGAAGUUUUGGGUACUAAUUGAAAAAUUAGGUGCCACAGUUUCAGUUGUAGGAGAUGGUUGUGAUAUGAACAUCUUGCCUUUAGAGAUAAUUGAUCAUGCAUAUGUUAUAGUUGAAAUCUUAUGGUGUGAGGAGUUCUUGCAUAGUAGUCAUUGAAUUAUAUGAUAAAUUGACUUAUUAAGCUUAACCUUUAGCUGUCAUAUGCUUAAUCAAGAAUAGGAAAGGAAGGGUUUUUCAAAAAUAAAAAAAAAAAUUAUAUGAUCAUAUAGUUUUGAAGUGGAAUCUGUUAUUGAGUUGCAUAGGAAAACUAUGACCACAAGAACAUGAUUGAUUACAUGCAACUAAGGAGGAUUUCAAAUAAAAAGAAGGUAUUUUAGGGUUCUUUUUUAUUCAUUUUAUAAGUACAGAUGAGCUAACUUUGCUGUUAGUUUCGCCUGAUUUCUUAUAUUUGUUUUGAUUUGGUAAAAAAAGGUUUAAAAGAAUAUGAUUUAGUUUUUGGAAAGUUAGUUUAAGAUUUAUUCUUCUUUAGAACCUUUGGCUUUUAAAUAAGUCUUUAUUUGCAGGAUUGUUUUUUUUAAUCAAAGAUAGAAGUCUGAUCUGAUGUUUUUCUGUGUUUGGUUUUUAGGGGGAGAUGUUCUUUACCAAUGGUAUACCAAAGUUUAAAGUCAAGAUUGUGCUAUGUUUGUCACUUCUUUUGUCUUGCAGGAGUUAGCUUUUACUUUUAGUGUGUGUAUGGUUACGAGUGAUAAUAUCAACACAGAUCGAGCCAUUACAAAGGAAUGUGGCAUUCUCACUUCCACUUUGGUAGAACAUAUUAUAUUAGCACCAAGAAUUCAGUUACACACACAUUCAUUCAAGUAAUGGAGACUGGAUUAUCGUGCGAUUAACAUGUUAAAUGGGUCAAAUGGGUCGAUAUCAGCCAAGAGUCAUCAUUUUACAGUUUCCAUAAUAUGUUUUUUUUGUUAAAAUAAGCAACACAAUCAUAUGACACUGUUAGUGGGUCAACAUGACUUAACCAAACAGUUUACAACUCUACUUGAUAGAAGCCCAUUUCAUAUUGAAUCUAUUUUGACGAAUAAAGUGUUGCCUGGGCCCGCUCAUUUAACUGCCUGUAAUUAAAUUUUUAGUGCUUUUCCGUGAGUACAGGUGAUGGUGACAUCGUGUCCAACAUACAAGUUGUAUGGCCCAGUGUGAAGUUGUUGCAUUCAUGGGUGAUGGUACUAACGAUGCUCCGACUUUGCAUGAAUCUGACAUUGGAAUUUUUAUUGGAAUAACAGCAAUAGAGAUUGUUCAACAAAUACACUUGCCUAUAUCUUUUGACUUGCCAAUGGUUCUAAGUAAGCCUCCAAAGGCAUGCUCCACACUUGAAGUUUACAAGGUACCAUGGACCCUUUAGCCUUGCUGGAGAAGAUAUCAAAGAAUGGAAUAUCACAAGAUGUUUGGCGAAGAAGAACCGGUCUAUAACCACUGGGUGGGGUUAAGCCCGAACCGGUUUUUUUUAAUAAUCGGUUAAAAAAUGGUCAUGGAAUCUCCACAACAAGUUGGUAGAAUGUCAAUGCAAUGGACCACAUGUCUUUCAUGGAAUGAUCAAUGUGAUGUGAUGAACCAAUAGAGGUUAGGUAUGUGCCUAUCGUACCGGUAACGAUGAGAUUGUUCAAUAAAUACCCUCGCCUAUAUCUUUCGACUUGCCAAUGGUUCUAAUUAAGCCUCCAGAGGCAUGCUCCACACUUGGAGUUUACAAGGUAUCGUUGACCCUUUAGCAUUGCUCGAGAAGAUAUCAAAUAAUGGAAUAUCACAAGAUGUUUGUGUAAACGAUUUGGAACCGUCUGCAUUUGAGUGUUUCCUCUGAAAAGAUUAGAACAACGCAUAAUUGUUGCAAGCCGUGAAAAAUGUGAUGUUUUUAUGUCUGGAAGGAACCAAGAAUUCCCAAUAGUUUGUCAAAAUGAUCGUGGAACACUAACUUAAGAAAUGUUUGAUGAAUGAAUCUGGUUGGAUUAGUGAAAUGUAUGGUUAUUCUUUUGGUGCACCAAAGCCGAAGUUGUACCAUGUUAUAAGCGACAAGAUAUUAAUAUACCCUGGGUAUGUUCCUGAACCUGGUGUUAACUAUUGGGUUUUCCAUUACGGGUUAGAGUUCAGUGUCGGGAUUUGGAGCUUUGACAAAGCGAAGUGGAGAACCAUUGAAAUGAUUACAUGGAAAUGGUGGAGGUGAUUGAACUCCACAGAUCGCAAAAACACCAGUACCAUCCAUCAAAUAUUGCAUCCAAGACUCAAGUGGCACUACAAAUUCACCACAUAAAAAGUCAAAAUUUUGACGUAUUAUAUGAAAUUUUGACAGUUGUGAGGUUAUUGGCACUGGCAAAGUAUUUUCAGCCCUUAAAGGCAAAUUGACUCGAAUGGUCUUUAGUGUAGAAAUGGAUGAAAUCUUAGUUGUGUACUUGACUGUGCGAAUUGAGAAGCCAACCACUUAUGAGCUGACUAAGGAUGUCAACAAGUAAGUCUUGAUUGAUAAUUUGUUAUUAAAACUUUUGUUCCAUGUGCUUUCUCUGGUGAAUACGGGGAAACAUGUGGAGAAGACGUUCAUCUCUUGCCAAUUCGCACAAACUGUUUGGCAUGUAAUUGCCUAAUGGUGUAAUGUCCCAAGCUUUUAUGUGUUUCAGUUCCGAGAUCUCUUGGAUAUGCCUGAAUUUUACCAUGGUUCGACGAAAAACAUGUUUUUUUUCAUGCUAUCAUUCUUACGAAAAUCAUGAGUAUCUGGACGAUGCGAAAUAAGAUCGUAUUUAGGGGGUGUUUGGCUUAGCUUUUUAAAUCAACUUAUUGAGUUAUUGGCUUUUUGGAAAAGUCAUAAUGGAGUGACUUUUUGGAGCUUAUUGACUUUUCCCCUCACAUACACCCUCAAUCCCAACCAUCAUUUAACUUUUCAAAAAACCAGUAAGUCAAUAAGUUAUUUCAAAAAGUUUAGCCAAACAUGCCCUUAAUCAGAGUUCAACAUCAAUGCCAAAAGUGAUUGAAGAAGUCAAAGCCGUUACAUUCCUUCUGGUAAAAAAAAAAAAAAUAGAUCGCAAGAAGCUUCAUUAACAUGGAA
Helianthus annuus (common sunflower) is the source of this 4509-nucleotide long non-coding RNA. RefSeq lists it as uncharacterized. The transcript is spliced from 15 exons. NCBI's taxonomy places the organism in Eukaryota, Viridiplantae, Streptophyta, Magnoliopsida, Asterales, Asteraceae. The record is from RefSeq and is a predicted model, not a curated record.